Molecule: ribosomal RNA, 497 nt
Filed under: uncultured bacterium
Lineage: Bacteria
Description: partial 16S ribosomal RNA
Rfam family: Bacterial small subunit ribosomal RNA
Source: RNAcentral
GAUGAACGCUGGCGGCGUGCCUAAUACAUGCAAGUCGAGCGAACAGAUGAGGAGCUUGCUCCUCUGACGUUAGCGGCGGACGGGUGAGUAACACGUGGAUAACCUACCUAUAAGACUGGGAUAACUUCGGGAAACCGGAGAUAAUAGCGGAUAAGAUAUUGAACCGCAUGGUUCAAUAGUGAAAGACGGUUUUGCUGUCAGUAAUAGAUGGAUCCGCGCUGCAUUAGCUAGUUGGGACGGUAACGGCUUACCAAGGCAACGAUGCGUAAACGAGCGGAGGGGCUGAUCGCCCACACUGGAACUGAGCCACGGUCCAUACGCCUACGGUAGGGAGCAGUAGGGAAUCGGCGGCAGUGGGCGAAAGCCUUACGGAGCGACGCGACGUGAGUUAUGAAGGUCCUCGGAUCGUAAAACUCUGUUAUUGGUGAAGAACAAAUGUCUAAGUAGCCAUGGACGUCUUGACGGUACCUAAUCAGAAAGCCACGGCUAACUACGUG